Molecule: ribosomal RNA, 301 nt
Filed under: uncultured bacterium
Lineage: Bacteria
Description: partial 16S ribosomal RNA
Rfam family: Bacterial small subunit ribosomal RNA
Source: RNAcentral
CAGUAGCCGCGGUAAUACGGAGGGUGCAAGCGUUAAUCGGAAUUACUGGGCGUAAAGCGCACGCAGGCGGUCUGACAAGUCAGAUGUGAAAUCCCCGGGCUUAACCUGGGAACUGCAUUUGAAACUGUCAGGCUGGAGUCUUGUAGAGGGGGGUAGAAUUCCAGGUGUAGCGGUGAAAUGCGUAGAGAUCUGGAGGAAUACCGGUGGCGAAGGCGGCCCCCUGGACAAAGACUGACGCUCAGGUGCGAAAGCGUGGGGAGCAAACAGGAUUAGAUACCCCUGUAAUCCCUGUCUCUUAUAA